UACGUAGGGUGCGAGCGUUAAUCGGAAUUACUGGGCGUAAAGCGUGCGCAGGCGGUUUGUUAAGACAGAUGUGAAAUCCCCGGGCUUAACCUGGGAACUGCAUUUGUGACUGGCAGGCUAGAGUAUGGCAGAGGGGGGUAGAAUUCCACGUGUAGCAGUGAAAUGCGUAGAGAUGUGGAGGAAUACCGAUGGCGAAGGCAGCCCCCUGGGCCAAUACUGACGCUCAUGCACGAAAGCGUGGGGAGCAAACAGG
This 253-nucleotide ribosomal RNA is filed under the name uncultured bacterium. Its description in RNAcentral is "partial 16S ribosomal RNA". It matches the Rfam family "Bacterial small subunit ribosomal RNA", at positions 524 to 776 of the family's 1533-position model. The record is from RNAcentral.